GAGAACAGGAGUUCAGCAUUAGCAUUCCCAAAUAGAAAAGACAUGGGCCUCGGAGUCAGCUAGGUCUAAAUUCAAAAUGUGAUUCCACAAUUUACGAGCCUGUAGCCUUUUAUCUGUGACCUGUGACUUGGCCUAUCUGAGACUAUAAAAUAAGGACAAUGUUUCCUUUGGGGGUGAGGUGAUAAUUAAAGACAACGUAGGUAAAGAAGAGUCAGUGAGCAAAGGGUGAGAGGCUAGUGGUGGGGAAGAGAGGACUAUGGCUUGACCCUUAGGCAGCAGAUAGCUCCCUGAGUUGAGGGAACGUGAUCAGCUGAGAGGUCCCAGGAGCAUAACCAGCUGGCUGUGAGUAGAGAGAUUAAAAGGGCAGAUUACAUCAAGAGAGACCAGUUAGGAGCCACACAACAAGCCACACCUGAGGCAGUUUGGGCCAACCAAGAUGGCGGCAAUGAGUGAGGCUGCAAGCAUCAGGACAGCAGAGACCAGAUUCAUCAUUGAAUCCUCAACAUCUAGCACAAUAUGCCUGGCAUAAGGUGAAGAGAAGAAGAGUAUGAACUACCACGAAACUCAUUUCCCUCCGUCCUUCAAUCAAACGCAAUGACCUUCAGCUACUCUCACCAUUCUCUACUGAAAACAUCCC
RNAcentral lists this long non-coding RNA (637 nucleotides) under Pan troglodytes (chimpanzee). RNAcentral's name for it is "long non-coding RNA NONPTRT009382". The record is from RNAcentral. Lineage: Eukaryota; Metazoa; Chordata; Mammalia; Primates; Hominidae.